This 296-nucleotide long non-coding RNA is filed under the name Elaeis guineensis (African oil palm). Its description in RNAcentral is "long non-coding RNA (EGUI_LNC016476)". Lineage: Eukaryota; Viridiplantae; Streptophyta; Magnoliopsida; Arecales; Arecaceae. The record is from RNAcentral.
AUAAAUAUGUUGAGCCGCCCCUGCAUUUAAAUUUCCAAAAGCAAAAAUUGCUGUGUUGACUCUGUUUACAGGUAGGCGAAUCACUUCUUUCGCUUUGAUGGAUGUGUGAUUUGUCGUCUGCUCAUCAACAUAUGGGGGAUAUUACGGGGAGCUGUCUCUAACUGAGGAUAGCACACCCGCUCAUCCAUCUCUGUGCAUGAUGUUACAAAGUUAAUAUCUAUCUUCUACUGAAAAAUACAGUCCAUGCAUACACACACACCUACAAAAUAAUGCCAUUAUUACAUUGGAUAGGGUAG